This 252-nucleotide ribosomal RNA is filed under the name uncultured bacterium. Its description in RNAcentral is "partial 16S ribosomal RNA". It matches the Rfam family "Bacterial small subunit ribosomal RNA", at positions 524 to 776 of the family's 1533-position model. The record is from RNAcentral.
UACGUAGGGGGCAAGCGUUGUCCGGAAUUAUUGGGCGUAAAGCGCGCGCAGGCGGCUGUUUAAGUCCGGUGUUUAAGCUCAGGGCUCAACCUUGGGACGCACUGGAAACUGGGCAGCUUGAGUGCAGGAGAGGGAAGUGGAAUUCCACGUGUAGCGGUGAAAUGCGUAGAGAUGUGGAGGAACACCAGUGGCGAAGGCGACUUUCUGGCCUGUAACUGACGCUGAGGCGCGAAAGCGUGGGGAGCAAACAGG